GUGCUCAAUUUGGUAACACAUAUGCUAAAACCAAAACGAUACAGAGAUUAGCAUGGCCGAUGGCAUGCAAAUUCACGAAGCAUUCCAUAUUUUG
This 94-nucleotide small nuclear RNA is filed under the name Peromyscus maniculatus bairdii (prairie deer mouse). Lineage: Eukaryota; Metazoa; Chordata; Mammalia; Rodentia; Cricetidae. The record is from RNAcentral.